RNAcentral lists this ribosomal RNA (447 nucleotides) under uncultured bacterium. RNAcentral describes it as "bacterial SSU rRNA". It matches the Rfam family "Bacterial small subunit ribosomal RNA", at positions 331 to 792 of the family's 1533-position model. The record is from RNAcentral.
CCAGACUCCUACGGGAGGCAGCAGUGGGGAAUAUUGGGCAAUGGGCGCAAGCCUGACCCAGCAACGCCGCGUGAAGGAAGAAGGCUUUCGGGUUGUAAACUUCUUUUAUGAGGGACGAAAGAAAUGACGGUACCUCAUGAAUAAGCCACGACUAACUACGUGCCAGCAGCCGCGGUAAUACGUAGGGAGCAAGCGUUAUCCGGAUUUAUUGGGUGUAAAGGGUGCGUAGACGGGAAAUUAAGUUAGUUGUGAAAUCCCGCGGCUCAACUGAGGAACUGCAACUAAAACUGGUUUUCUUGAGUGUUGGAGAGGAAAGCGGAAUUCCUAGUGUAGCGGUGAAAUGCGUAGAUAUUAGGAGGAACACCAGUGGCGAAGGCGGCCUGCUGGGCUUUAACUGGCGCUGAGGCUCGAAAGUGUGGGUAGCAAACAGGAUUAGAUACCCCAGUA